This is a small nucleolar RNA of Phragmites australis (common reed), 139 nucleotides long. RefSeq annotates it as small nucleolar RNA Z247. The record is from RefSeq and is a predicted model, not a curated record. NCBI's taxonomy places the organism in Eukaryota, Viridiplantae, Streptophyta, Magnoliopsida, Poales, Poaceae. The transcript has a single exon.
CCAUUGGAGGAUGAGGAGCUAAUUGCAUACUUGCUUCGAGGCCUUGGAACUGAAUAUGAUCCUUUGGUGACAAGUGCCACCACAAGCACUGACAACAUCGGUGUCAGUGAUGUGUACAUGCACAUGCUGAGUUAUGAGC